This 74-nucleotide transfer RNA is filed under the name Trichonephila inaurata madagascariensis. It matches the Rfam family "tRNA". From Rfam's summary of the family: Transfer RNA (tRNA) molecules are approximately 80 nucleotides in length. Their secondary structure includes four short double-helical elements and three loops (D, anti-codon, and T loops). The record is from Rfam by way of RNAcentral. Lineage: Eukaryota; Metazoa; Arthropoda; Arachnida; Araneae; Nephilidae.
GGUUCCGUAGUGUAGUGGUUAUCACUGCCCGCUUAACACGCGAAAGGUCUCCGGUUCGAUCCCGGACGGAACCA